Molecule: ribosomal RNA, 501 nt
Filed under: uncultured bacterium
Lineage: Bacteria
Description: partial 16S ribosomal RNA
Rfam family: Bacterial small subunit ribosomal RNA
Source: RNAcentral
AUUGAACGCUGGCGGCAUGCCUUACACAUGCAAGUCAAACGGCAGCACGGGUGCUUGCACCUGGUGGCGAGUGGCGAACGGGUGAGUAAUACAUCGGAACGUACCUUAUCGUGGGGGAUAACGCAGCGAAAGCUGUGCUAAUACCGUAUACGCCCUGAGGGGGAAAGCGGGGGAUCGCAAGACCUCGCGCGAUUAGAGCGGCCGAUGCCUGAUUAGCUUGUUGGUGGGGUAAAAGCCCACCAAGGCGACGAUCAGUAGCUGGUCUGGGAGGACGAUCGGCCACACUGGGGCUGAGACACGGCCCAGGCUCCUACGGGAGGCAGCAGUGGGGAAUUUUGGACAAUGGGGGCAACCCUGAUCCAGCAAUGCCGCGUGAGUGAAGAAGGCCUUCGGGUUGUAAAGCUCUUUUGUCAGGGAAGAAACACCGGCUCUAACACAGUCCGGGAAUGACGGUACCUGAAGAAUAAGCACCGGCUAACUACGUGCCAGCCGCCGCCGUAA